GAUGACUCUCGACAACGGAUAUCUCGGCUCUUGCAUCGAUGAAGAACGUAGCGAAAUGCGAUACUUGGUGUGAAUUGCAGAAUCCCGUGAACCAUCGAGUCUUUGAACGCAAGUUGCGCCCGAAGCCACUAGGCUGAGGGCACGUCUGCCUGGGUGUCACGC
Molecule: ribosomal RNA, 162 nt
Filed under: Seseli dichotomum
Lineage: Eukaryota; Viridiplantae; Streptophyta; Magnoliopsida; Apiales; Apiaceae
Description: 5.8S ribosomal RNA
Rfam family: 5.8S ribosomal RNA
About the family: 5.8S ribosomal RNA (5.8S rRNA) is a component of the large subunit of the eukaryotic ribosome. It is transcribed by RNA polymerase I as part of the 45S precursor that also contains 18S and 28S rRNA. Functionally, it is thought that 5.8S rRNA may be involved in ribosome translocation.
Source: RNAcentral